AGUGACGAAAAAUAACGAUACGGGACUCAUCCGAGGCCCCGUAAUCGGAAUGAGUACACUCUAAACCCUUUAACGAGGAUCAAUUGGAGGGCAAGUCUGGUGCCAGCAGCCGCGGUAAUUCCAGCUCCAAUAGCGUAUAUUAAAGUUGUUGCGGUUAAAAAGCUCGUAGUCGAAUCUGUGUCCCGCGCCGCCGGUUCAUCGUUCGCGGUGUUAACUGGCGUGCCGCGGGACGUCCUGCCGGUGGGCUUAGCUCGCGAGGGCGGCCCAACUCAAUCCCGCCGCGGUGCUCUUCAUUGAGUGUCGAGGUGGGCCGGCACGUUUACUUUGAACAAAUUAGAGUGCUUAAAGCAGGCUAAAACUUCGCCUGAAUACUGUGUGCAUGGAAUAAUGGAAUAGGACCUCGGUUCUAUUUUGUUGGUUUUCGGAACCCCGAGGUAAUGAUUAAUAGGAACGGAUGGGGGCAUUCGUAUUGCGACGUUAGAGGUGAAAUUCUUGGAUCGUCGCAAGACGGACAGAAGCGAAAGCAUUUGCCAAAAACGCUUUCAUUGAUCAAGAACGAAAGUUAGAGGUUCGAAGGCGAUCAGAUACCGCCCUAGUUCUAACCAUAAACGAUGCCAGCUAGCGAUCCGCCGACGUUCCUCCGAUGACUCGGCGGGCAGCUUCCGGGAAACCAAAGCUUUUGGUUCCGGGGGAAGUAUGGUUGCAAAGCUGAAACUUAAAGGAAUUGACGGAAGGGCACCACCAGGAGUGGAGCCUGCGGCUUAAUUU
This 768-nucleotide ribosomal RNA is filed under the name Pimelia maura. RNAcentral describes it as "SSU rRNA". It matches the Rfam family "Eukaryotic small subunit ribosomal RNA", at positions 466 to 1196 of the family's 1831-position model. Lineage: Eukaryota; Metazoa; Arthropoda; Insecta; Coleoptera; Tenebrionidae. The record is from RNAcentral.